Long non-coding RNA from Pan troglodytes (chimpanzee), 240 nucleotides. RefSeq lists it as uncharacterized. Lineage: Eukaryota; Metazoa; Chordata; Mammalia; Primates; Hominidae. The record is from RefSeq and is a predicted model, not a curated record. The transcript has 2 exons.
CUCGAAAACCAUGUUCCUCAGCCGUGGUGGGCACGGCAGCCGGCCCGUGCGCUCCUCCUCCCGCCGCCUUCCCCACGCCCCUCCCUCGAGAGUGACACGCUUCCCUGCAGAUAAGAGUUAGAGUCAGCCGGUCUGGAAACUGCUGAACACCCUCCAAGAAAUACUGGGAGUGCUGGACCCUUGACCCCUAUGCCUCCACCGAACCACUGACCUAAAAUAAAUUACAAUUACAGAUCUUUC